GGGCCGCGGUAUCCUAACCGUGCAAAGGUAGCAUAAUCAUUUGUCCAUUAAUUGUGGACUAGAAUGAACGGGUAAACGAAAUAAUCGCUGUCUCAGUAAAGAAAAUAAAAAUUAAUAUUUAUGUGAAGAAGCAUAAAUAAAAUCGAAGGACAAGAAGACCCUAUAGAGCUUUAUUAAAAUUCUGAUAGUCAGCUUAAUAAUUCGGUUGGGGCGACCUAGGAUAAAUCAUCCUUCUAUAAUAUAACUUAUUAGUUAAAAGUGAUCCUUAUAUGAUCAAAAGACUAAGCUACCUUAGGGAUAACAGGCUAAUCCCACUAUAGAGCUCUUAUCACCAGUGGGGAUUGGCACCUCGAUGUUGGCUUAGGAUAUCAUUUUAGUGUAGCAGCUAAAAAAUGUUGGUUUGUUCAACCAUAAAAAUCCUACGUGAUCU
Molecule: ribosomal RNA, 430 nt
Filed under: Antarctodrilus proboscidea
Lineage: Eukaryota; Metazoa; Annelida; Clitellata; Tubificida; Phreodrilidae
Description: partial 16S ribosomal RNA
Rfam family: Bacterial large subunit ribosomal RNA
Source: RNAcentral